GAGCCCUACCUAGCCCAACCACACCCCCAGUCAAUAGAUCAAAAACACUUCCCCACUAAACUAAAACAUUCUUAUGACCUAGUAUUGGCGAUAGAAAAGACUCCUUGGCGCAAUAGAGAACACGUACCGUAAGGGAAAGUUGAAAUAACAAUGAAAAACCAAGCAUCAAACAGCAAAGAUAAGCCCUUGUACCUCUUGCAUCAUGAUUUAGCAAGAACAACCAAGCAAAGUGAACUUAAGCUUGCCACCCCGAAACCCAAGCGAGCUACUUACAAGCAGCUACUUGAGCGAACCCGUCUCUGUUGCAAAAGAGUGGGAUGACUUGUCAGUAGAGGUGAAAAGCCAAUCGAGCUGGGUGAUAGCUGGUUGCCUGUAAAACGAAUCUAAGUUCUCCCUUAACUCUCCUCCACGGACAACACACCUAACCCCUAUGUAGUGAGUUAAGAGGUACUUAAAGGAGGUACAGCUCCUUUAAAAAAGAAAACAACCUCUACUAGCGGAUACCUUUCCACACACAUACACAUGUAGGCCCCUAAGCAGCCAUCAACAUAGAGUGCGUCAAAGCUCCUUACCUAAAAGAUCUAAGAAUAACCCAACUCCCUUACCACCAACAGGCUAAUCUAUAUCAAUAGAAGAACUAAUGCUAAAAUGAGUAACCUGGAUUUCUCCUCUCAAAGCGCAAACUUACAUCCAUACAUUAUUAACAGACUUAAACUAAUACUACAAAUCUAACAAGAACCUGUAUUAAACUUCUCUGUUACCCCAACUCAGGAGCGCUAAUAUAAGAAAGAUUAAAAUCUGUAAAAGGAACUAGGCAAACCAAGGGCCCGACUGUUUACCAAAAACAUAGCCUUCAGCAAACCAAGUAAAGUAAGUAUUGAAGGUGAUGCCUGCCCANUGACAUUAUGUUCAACGGCCGCGGUAUCCUAACCGUGCGAAGGUAGCACAACCAAUUGUCUCAUAAAUCGAGACCUGUAUGAAUGGCUAAACGAGGUCCUAACUGUCUCCUACAGAUAAUCAGUGAAAUUGAUCCUCCUGUGCAAAAGCAGGAAUAGUCACAUAAGACGAGAAGACCCUGUGGAACUUAAAAAUCAACAGCCACUUCAUGCACACUAAGACCUAUUAGGUUUACUGCUCUAAACCUCUGGCCUGUAUUUUUCGGUUGGGGCAACCUUGGAGAAAAACAAACCCUCCAAAAACAAGAGCACACCUCUUAACUAAGAGCAACCCCUCAAUGUACUAACAGUAACCAGACCCAAUAUAAUUGACUAAUGAACCAAGCUACCCCAGGGAUAACAGCGCAAUCUCCUUCAAGAGCCCCUAUCGACAAGGAGGUUUACGACCUCGAUGUUGGAUCAGGACAUCCUAAUGGUGCAGACGCUAUUAAGGGUUCGUUUGUUCAACGAUUAAUAGUCCUACGUGAUCUGAGUUCAGACCGGAGUGAUCCAGGUCGGUUUCUAUCUAUGUAUUUACUCUUCCUAGUACGAAAGGACCGGAAAAGUGAGGCCAAUACCAAAAGCAUGCCUCCCCUCUAAGUAAUGAACCCAACUAAUUACGAAAGAAGGACUAACUACAACCUCAUCCUAGAAAAGGAUCG
Molecule: ribosomal RNA, 1597 nt
Filed under: Anhinga anhinga (American anhinga)
Lineage: Eukaryota; Metazoa; Chordata; Aves; Suliformes; Anhingidae
Description: 16S ribosomal RNA
Rfam family: Bacterial large subunit ribosomal RNA
Source: RNAcentral